GACGAACGCUGGCGGCGUGCUUAACACAUGCAAGUCGAACGGUGAAGGGGUCUGCUUUUGUGGGCCCUGGAUGAGUGGCGAACGGGUGAGUAACACGUGAGUAACCUGCCCCCUUCUUCUGGAUAACCGCAUGAAAGUGUGGCUAAUACGGGAUAUUCUGGGUCUGUCGCAUGAUGGGUCUGGGAAAGAUUGCGCCUUUGGGUGUUUUUGGUGGGGGAUGGGCUCGCGGCCUAUCAGCUUGUUGGUGGGGUGAUGGCCUACCAAGGCGGUGACGGGUAGCCGGGCGGAGAGGGUGGACGGUCACACUGGGACUGAGACACGGCCCAGACUCCUACGGGAGGCAGCAGUGGGGAAUAUUGCACAAUGGGCGCAAGCCUGAUGCAGCGACGCCGCGUGAGGGAGGGAGGCCUUCGGGUUGUAAACCUCUUUCGCCAGUGAAGCAGGCCUGCUCCUUGUGGGUGGGUUGACGGUAGCUGGAUAAGAAGCGCCGGCUAACUACGUG
This 502-nucleotide ribosomal RNA is filed under the name uncultured bacterium. Its description in RNAcentral is "partial 16S ribosomal RNA". It matches the Rfam family "Bacterial small subunit ribosomal RNA", at positions 28 to 507 of the family's 1533-position model. The record is from RNAcentral.